Molecule: long non-coding RNA, 3311 nt
Filed under: Nicotiana benthamiana
Lineage: Eukaryota; Viridiplantae; Streptophyta; Magnoliopsida; Solanales; Solanaceae
Description: long non-coding RNA (NBEN_LNC035209)
Source: RNAcentral
GGACUGCGAACGCUAUAGCAGAUUUACUUGAGUCUCCACUGCCUCAAUAGCUACCAUCGAUCAAAAGCAUGGAUCUGUACACAAACAAAAUGUACAGAAGUGUAGUAUCAGCACAACUGACCCCAUGUGCUGGUAAGUGUCAAGAUAUCGGGGCGAAGUAGUGACAAGGCUAGGACCAAACACUCACAUAAACCUGUGCAGUUUAUAGCAUAUAUAUAAUAGGAAGCAAUUAAUAAUAAUGACAACAAUGAUCAGCCAAUGAUGUAAAUAGCAGGCAACAAGAAUACCAAAAUUUCUUCUCAACAAAUAAUAAAUACAAGUACAAUCAGUUAAUCAAGUCCUUCAAAUAUAAAUCUUUCGAGUAAACGUUGGCUUGUGACGUCUCAUUUCAACAACAACAACAACAACAACAACAACAACCCAGUAUAAUUCCACUUAAUGGGGUCUGGGGAGGGUACUGUGUACGCAGACCUUACCCCUACCCUUGGGUAGAGAGGCUGUUUCCAAAUAGACCCCCGGCAUCCUUCCAUCANNNNNNNNNNNNNNNNNNNNNNNNNNNNNNNNNNNNNNNNNNNNNNNNNNNNNNNNNNNNNNNNNNNNNNNNUUCCACCUUGCUCUUGGAGAGACUCGAACUCACAACCUCUCGGUUGGAAGUGGGGGUUGCUUACCAUCAGAGCAACCCCUCUUGUCUUGACGUCUCAUUUCAUAAUCAUAAUAAUAUAGGUCUUGUCCCACUUUCAUAUUUUUACGGCAUCUCGUGCCCAUAUUUCUAUUACAACCGCACAGACAACUCACGUGCAAUUAAAUAAAACUGUAAUAUUUUCCCCGGUACCUUAUGCCAACAUAUUUCUAUUUCACUUUGCACAAUAAUAUUCUCAUGUUACCCAGUUCACAGGGUCCAUAACCCAAUACAAUUAAGAAGUUCAAAGAGCCUCAUUUACUUAACAUAAAGUAGAGUGCAACUUUCAAACCAAUUAGGAAAUCAACAAGAAGAGAUGAAGUUAUUUUUAGAAAUUAUUUGAUAAAGAAAAUACCUUUUUCAAUUAAAGUAAAAUAUCGAAUUAAUUAUUACCUUUAAUACGAGAAAUAAAUAAUUGAAACAUAUUAGAAAUUCCUUUUUAUGUAAAGUACAACCUCGGCGGUUUAAGGAAAAUAAACCUAAUACCACGAUCCCAUUUUCUGUAUCUCGUGGUAGGCGUACCACCCGCUCACAUCUCUUUAUAUCUUGUGGUAGGCAUACCACCCGCUCCCAUUUCAGUAUAUCUCGUGGUAGGCGUACCACCCGAUCCCAUUUCAUAAUAUAUAAGUGUUCGGCGUGCCACAUGAUCCCAUUUCAUAAUUCAUAAGUGGUCGGCGUGCCAUACGAUCCCAUUUCAUAAUAUAUAAGUGGACAGUGUGCCACACGAUCCCAUUUCAUAAUUCAUAAGUGGUCGGCGUGCCACACGAUCCCAUUUCAUAAUAUAUAAGUGGACGGCGUGCCACACAAUCCCAUUUCAUAAUUCAUAAGUGGUCGGCGUGCCAUAGGAUCUCAUUUCAUAAUAUAUAUAAGUGGACAGCGUGUCAUACGAUCCCAUUUCACAAUUCAUAAGUGGUCGGUGUGCCACACGAUCCCAUUUCAUAAUAUCUUGUGGUAGGCGUACCACCCGCUCCCAUUUUAUUUUGUUGCUAACAUUAAUCACAAACGAAUCUGGGAAAGGAAAUAAUAAUAUCAACAAACAUCCCGGCAAGGGAACAAUAAUAUCAAAACAAACAUCCCGGCAAGGGAACAAUAAUAAUAAUAAUAAUAACAUAUGAAGCGCAACAAACUACAACAAAAUCAUAAUAAUUAUAAUACAAGACUCACACAAAUAAUAAUUGGACAUCCCGGCAAGGGAACAAUAAUAUCAAAACAAACAUCCCGGCAAGGGAACAAUAAUAUCAAAACAAGCAUCCCGGCAAGGGAACAAUAAUAUCAAAACAAACAUCCCGGCAGGGGAUCAAAACAAACAUUCCGGUAAGGGAACAAUAAUAUCAAAACAAACAUCCCAUCAAUGGAACAAUAAUAAUAAUAAUAAUAAUAAUAAUAAUAAUAAUAAUAAUAAUAAUAAUAAUAAUAGUAAUAAUAAUAAUAAUAAUGAUAAUAAUAACACACGAAGCGCAACAAACUACAACGAAGUCAUAACAAUUACAAUACAAGACUCACACAAAUAAUUCUUUCAUAGAAUCAAAUAAGGAUGUGAGAUUAUCCAUUUAAGACUCACGGUAAUGCUCGACCCCCAACGUAUAGAUACUCGCCACCAUGCCUAUACGUCGGACUCCGCACAUAGCAAUUAGCAAAUAGACUCAACUCUUAUUCCCUCAAUCUAGGAUAGAUCAAACACUUACAUCGACACUUGUCGUCAUGCCUAUACGUCGGACUCCACACAUAACAAAUAGCAAAUAUACUCAACUCAUAUUCUCUCGAGCUAGGAUAGAUCAAACACUUACCUCGUUUUGCAGCCAAUUCCAAAUUCCAACAAGUCUUUGCCUCGCGAAUUCGUCGGAAGCUUCAAAUUGAGUAUCUUCUGUAAAGGUAAAAAGAUGCAUCGCUAUACUUCUUUGUUGGAAAGUUGGCAACAGCAAGAGGCUCCAGGCUAUGUAAACCACGUUCCACAAUGCUAAGAUCAGAUCUGAAGUGGGUGUUUUGAUUUCUCAAAGUGUUCAACUGUUACACGAGCAUAACCGAAAUUGUGUCUGCGACAGGAACUCGAAUGGACCUCACCCGGACAGAACUUCUGGGCGAUUUUUGAACGUUUUAAGUUGGUUUUCGGACUGAGGAAGGUCGUUUCCUGGAGAAGAUGAUGGGGUGUUGGUGGCUUGGUGAAGUAGCAGCAACUUCUCGUCAAUAGCGGACGAGAAGGAAGCGAGAAGGGCUGUUGCUGGAGGUUGACGUCUGGUUCGAGGGUGUUCGUGAGGUGAAGAAGGAGAACGUGAAGCAGCAGCUGUUCACUGCUGUCGACGGGCUGCUGUGGUAUCAUAGGGUAUGGUCGUUUGGUGGUUUAGGGUGGCAGGUGGUGGAGCUGGUUCACGACUGCUGCUUGUAGUUCUUAGGGUUAUGUUUUUGUUUUGAAGAGUUUUCUGGUUUUGUCUUCUUCAAAAAUGAAGAAGAAGAUGAGCAGUACAGUAGCCGCAUGUGGAUAGUCUCCAAUUAAAGUCUUCAAAUAUGUCCAAAUCUUUAAGUGUGUCGGCUGAAGUGUUUUUAGGUCUCUUUUCUUCUUUUAUAUUUUGUUUAUCGUGUGUGCGUGUUUUACUUCUAAAUGGCCUAAUUUUGAAAUCUAGGGAGGAAUUGAGAU